GGAAACAUACACCUCUGGGUGUUUCUAUGGGGGAAGUUCCCAGCAGUGUUUAACUGAAGAGAGGAGGCCUUCCAUGAGUCUGAACAGCUCUAGACUAUGGGCUGAGGUCACAGUCUGGACUUGUGCCCUGCUCCUCCCCUGCUGUUUCUAUCAUGACACUCUAAGAUGCUCCACUUUGAUGGCUCCAAGAAUGGAGAAGAUUCCCAGGACAUUAAUGAAGACAUCUGUACUGAUGACUUAGAAAAGAAAAGCUAUUUCCAGGGCAGUCAUGUGUUUUGGGAGAACUGUAACUACCACAUCCACUAAAAACCUGGAGUUGAGUAAAAUCCUGUGUGUUUCUGUGACUAAAUUCAAUUUUCCAAGACAAAAUUUUUCUGGUAGCCCUGACUG
This is a long non-coding RNA of Mus musculus (house mouse), 390 nucleotides long. RefSeq annotates it as predicted gene, 54203. The record is from RefSeq and is a predicted model, not a curated record. Lineage: Eukaryota; Metazoa; Chordata; Mammalia; Rodentia; Muridae. The transcript has 3 exons.